Molecule: ribosomal RNA, 376 nt
Filed under: uncultured organism
Description: partial 16S ribosomal RNA
Rfam family: Bacterial small subunit ribosomal RNA
Source: RNAcentral
GUAGGUGGCAAGCGUUGUCCGGAAUUAUUGGGGCGUAAAAGCGCGCGCAGGGCGGUCCUUUAAGUCUGAUGUGAAAAGCCCACGGCUCAACCGUGGAGGGUCAUUGGAAACUGGGGGACUUGAGUACAGAAGAGGAAAGCGGAAUUCCAAGUGUAGCGGUGAAAUGCGUAGAGAUUUGGAGGAACACCAGUGGCGAAGGCGGCUUUCUGGUCUGUAACUGACGCUGAGGCGCGAAAGCGUGGGGAGCAAACAGGAUUAGAUACCCUGGUAGUCCACGCCGUAAACGAUGAGUGCUAAGUGUUAGGGGGUUUCCGCCCCUUAGUGCUGCAGCUAACGCAUUAAGCACUCCGCCUGGGGAGUACGGCCGCAAAGGCUG